GGAAUGAGUGACCUCAAACUUCAUCAAUACCUCAUUUGUUGAUAUUCCACAGUAUGUGAUUUUAAGGUAGUCAUUGAAGCUGUUCUUUCUAAGAUGAAAUACUAUUUUCUCUUUCUUUCUUUCUUUCUUUCUCUCUCUCUCUCUCUCUCUCUCUCUCUCUCUCUCUCUCUCUCUCUCUCCCCCUUUCUUUCUUUUUUUGAGACAGAGUUUUGCGCUUGUUGCCUAGGCUGAAAUACAAUGGUGCGAUCUUGGCUCACUACAACAUCUGCCUCCUGGGUUCAAGUGAUUCUUGUGCCUCAGCGUCCCAAGCUGCUGAGAUUACAGGCCUGCGGCACCACGUCCAGCUAAUUUUUGUAUUUUUAGUAGAAACGGGGUUUCACCAUGUUGGUCAGGCUGGUUUCUAACUCCUGACCUCAGGUAAUCCUCCCACUUCUGCCUCCCAAAGUGCUGGGAUUACAGGUGUGAGCCACCGCACCCAGCCCAUUUUCUUUUUCCUUUUCUUUUUUUCUUUUUUUCGAGACAGAGUCUCACUCUGUUGCCCAUGCUGGAGUACAGAGGCAGACUCUCAGCUCACUGCAACCUCUGCCUCCCAGGUUCAAGCGAUUCUCCUGCCUCAGCCUCCCAAGUAGCUGGGAUCACAGGCACCUGCCACCAUGGCCGGCUAAUUUUUUGUAUUUUUUAGUAGAGACAGGGUUUCACUAUAUUUGACAGGCUGGUCUUGAACUCCUGACUUUGUGAACCGCCUGCCUCAGCCUCCCAAAGUGCUAGGAUUACAGGUGUGAGUCACUGCGCCCGGCCCGGUUGCCUAUUUUUAUGGUUAUUUCUUGAUAACAUACUAAACAAGAGGUGGAUUAUUCAUGCCUCCCCUUUUUAGACCAUAUAGGGUAACUUCCUGACAUUGCCCAGGCAUUUGUAAACUGUCGUGGUGCUGGUGGGAGUGUAGCAGUGAGGACGACUACAGGUCACUCUCAUUGCCAUCUUGGUUUUGGUGGGUUUUAGCCAGGUUUUUUACUGCAACGUGUUUUGUUUUGUUUUAGAGAUGGAGUCUCGCUCUGUUACCCAGACUGGAGUACAGUGGCGCAAUCUUGGCUCACUGCAACCUCUGCCUCCCGGGUUCAAGUGAUUCUCCUGCCUUAGCUUCCUAAAUAGCUGGGAUUACAGGCUCGCACCACCACGCUCGGCUAGUUUUUGUAUUUUUAGUAGAGACAGGGUUUCACCACAUUAGUCAGGCUGGUCUCGAACUCCUGACCUCAGCCUGAGGUGAUCUGCCUGCCUCAGCCUCCCAAAGUGCUGGGAUUACAGGCGUGAGCCACCGCGCCCAGCCAACACUGCAACGUGUUUUAUCAGCAAGGUCAUCAUGAUCUGUAUUUUGUGCCAACCUCCUAGCUCAUCCUGGGACUUAGAAUGCCUUAACCAUCUGGAAAUAUAGCCCGGUAGUUCUCAGCUUCAUUUUACCCGGCCCCUACUCAAGAUGGAGUUGCUCUGGUUCACACGCCUCUGACAACAUGGCAGGUGAACCAUGGUGAGAAUCAGGCGUGAAGAGUGAGUCUUCAAAAGCAGCCAUGUGGGGAGGAGGAAGGCAGGAAAUACAUUCUCCGUCCACCUGGGGACUCUUCCCAAGCUGGUGGGAAGACCCGAGCAGGUUUGUAGGUUGAGGGCAGUGGCCUGAAGAGAGAGCGAGUUUGAGGGUGCCAGAAAAAGGGAAUAUUUGAGUAAGACAGGUCCUUCCUGGAGGAGGUGUCCCUAACUCGAAGCUUAGAGGGGAGUAGGUUUAGGGGGCAGGGAGCGGCAACCAUUUCUGA
Long non-coding RNA from Papio anubis (olive baboon), 1802 nucleotides. NCBI's taxonomy places the organism in Eukaryota, Metazoa, Chordata, Mammalia, Primates, Cercopithecidae. The record is from Ensembl.